GAACUGAAGAGUUUGAUCCUGGCUCAGAUUGAACGCUGGCGGCAUGCCUUACACAUGCAAGUCGAACGGCAGCACGGGAGCAAUCCUGGUGGCGAGUGGCGAACGGGUGAGUAAUACAUCGGAACGUGUCCUGUAGUGG
Molecule: ribosomal RNA, 139 nt
Filed under: Paraburkholderia madseniana
Lineage: Bacteria; Pseudomonadati; Pseudomonadota; Betaproteobacteria; Burkholderiales; Burkholderiaceae
Description: partial 16S ribosomal RNA
Rfam family: Bacterial small subunit ribosomal RNA
Source: RNAcentral